GCAGGACGAGCCGCAGACAAAACUCCUGAC
RNAcentral lists this non-coding RNA (30 nucleotides) under Homo sapiens (human). Lineage: Eukaryota; Metazoa; Chordata; Mammalia; Primates; Hominidae. The record is from RNAcentral.